GAUGAACGCUAGCUACAGGCUUAACACAUGCAAGUCGAGGGGAAACGAUAGGGAAAGCUUGCUUUUUCUAGGCGUCGACCGGCGCACGGGUGAGUAAAGCGUAUCCAACCUGCCCAUCACUUGGGGAUAAACUUGCGAAAGUAAGACUAAUACCCAAUGACGGCUCGAGCAGACAUCGGAAGGAGAUUAAAGAUUAAUAGGUGAUGGACGGGGAUGCGUGUGAUUAGCUUGUUGGCGGGGUAACGGCCCACCAAGGCGACGAUCAGUAGGGGUGCUGGGAGGAAGGUCCCCCACAUUGGAACUGAGACACGGUCCAAACUCCUACGGGAGGCAGUAGUGAGGAAUAUUGGUCAAUGGACGAGAGUCUGAACCAGCCAAGUAGCGUGCAGGAAGACGGCCCUAUGGGUUGUAAACUGCUUUUAUAAGGGAAUAAAGUGAGUCUCGUGAGACUUUUUGCAUGUACCUUAUGAAUAAGGACCGGCUAAUUCCGUGCCAGCAGCCGCGGUAA
RNAcentral lists this ribosomal RNA (508 nucleotides) under uncultured bacterium. RNAcentral describes it as "partial 16S ribosomal RNA". It matches the Rfam family "Bacterial small subunit ribosomal RNA", at positions 28 to 523 of the family's 1533-position model. The record is from RNAcentral.